GACGAACGCUGGCGGCAUGCUUAACACAUGCAAGUCGAACGGAAAGGCCCUGCUUUUGUGGGGUGCUCGAGUGGCGAACGGGUGAGUAACACGUGAGUAACCUGCCCUUGACUUUGGGAUAACUUCAGGAAACUGGGGCUAAUACCGGAUAGGAGCUCCUGCUGCAUGGUGGGGGUUGGAAAGUUUCGGCGGUUGGGGAUGGACUCGCGGCUUAUCAGCUUGUUGGUGGGGUAGUGGCUUACCAAGGCUUUGACGGGUAGCCGGCCUGAGAGGGUGACCGGCCACAUUGGGACUGAGAUACGGCCCAGACUCCUACGGGAGGCAGCAGUGGGGAAUAUUGCACAAUGGGCGGAAGCCUGAUGCAGCAACGCCGCGUGCGGGAUGACGGCCUUCGGGUUGUAAACCGCUUUCGCCUGUGACGAAGCGUGAGUGACGGUAAUGGGGAAAGAAGCACCGGCUAACUACGU
This 467-nucleotide ribosomal RNA is filed under the name uncultured bacterium. RNAcentral's name for it is "partial 16S ribosomal RNA". It matches the Rfam family "Bacterial small subunit ribosomal RNA", at positions 28 to 506 of the family's 1533-position model. The record is from RNAcentral.